CCAUAUGGUUUCAAUUGUGGUU
RNAcentral lists this small nuclear RNA (22 nucleotides) under Arabidopsis thaliana (thale cress). RNAcentral describes it as "snRNA_08818". Lineage: Eukaryota; Viridiplantae; Streptophyta; Magnoliopsida; Brassicales; Brassicaceae. The record is from RNAcentral.